This 95-nucleotide Y RNA is filed under the name Microcebus murinus (gray mouse lemur). RNAcentral describes it as "Y RNA (ENSMICG00000042322.1)". It matches the Rfam family "Y RNA". Rfam says of the family: Y RNAs are components of the Ro ribonucleoprotein particle (Ro RNP), in association with Ro60 and La proteins. The Y RNAs and Ro60 and La proteins are well conserved, but the function of the Ro RNP is not known. In humans the RNA component can be one of four small RNAs -- hY1, hY3, hY4 and hY5. The record is from Rfam by way of RNAcentral. Lineage: Eukaryota; Metazoa; Chordata; Mammalia; Primates; Cheirogaleidae.
GGUUGGUCUGAGUGCAGUGGUGUUUACAACUGAUCAAACAGUUAUAGAUUCCUUUGUUCCUUCUCCACUCCCACUGCUUCACUUGACCAGCAAAA